Molecule: ribosomal RNA, 651 nt
Filed under: uncultured bacterium
Lineage: Bacteria
Description: bacterial SSU rRNA
Rfam family: Bacterial small subunit ribosomal RNA
Source: RNAcentral
CGCGGCCUAUCAGCUUGUUGGUGGGGUGAUGGCCUACCAAGGCGACGACGGGUAGCCGGCCUGAGAGGGUGUCCGGCCACACUGGGACUGAGAUACGGCCCAGACUCCUACGGGAGGCAGCAGUGGGGAAUAUUGCACAAUGGGCGCAAGCCUGAUGCAGCGACGCCGCGUGGGGGAUGACGGCCUUCGGGUUGUAAACCUCUUUCACCAUCGGCGAAGCCCGUAGCUUUUGUUGUGGGUGACGGUAGGUGGAGAAGAAGCACCGGCCAACUACGUGCCAGCAGCCGCGGUAAUACGUAGGGUGCGAGCGUUGUCCGGAAUUACUGGGCGUAAAGAGCUCGUAGGUGGUUUGUCGCGUUGUCCGUGAAAUUCCCUGGCUUAACUGGGGACGUGCGGGCGAUACGGGCAGACUGGAGUACUGCAGGGGAGACUGGAAUUCCUGGUGUAGCGGUGGAAUGCGCAGAUAUCAGGAGGAACACCGGUGGCGAAGGCGGGUCUCUGGGCAGUAACUGACGCUGAGGAGCGAAAGCGUGGGGAGCGAACAGGAUUAGAUACCCUGGUAGUCCACGCCGUAAACGGUGGGUACUAGGUGUGGGUUUCCUUCCUUGGGAUCCGUGCCGUAGCUAACGCAUUAAGCGCCCCGCCUGGGGA